Molecule: long non-coding RNA, 734 nt
Organism: Ictalurus punctatus (channel catfish)
Lineage: Eukaryota; Metazoa; Chordata; Actinopteri; Siluriformes; Ictaluridae
Source: Ensembl
UAGUGUGUGUGUGUGUGUGUGUGUGUGUGUGUGUGUGUGUGUGUGUGUGUGUGGGAGUUCCUGAUUUAUCAGUCAUUAGAUUCGAGUCUGUCAUUUUAACUCGGCCAUGACGCUCAUUUGUACAACGUGCUUGAGCGAGCUUUCCCUGCUAAACAUCUCAGGCGUGAGACAGGCUGGACGGGGGUUAACUGCAAACACAUGACCACUGUCAUACGACCUCGUUUUAAGUUGUAGAUGGUGUGCAGCAGGAACAUGAAUCAGGGACGAGGAGCGGAAAGCACUGUGACAGCUGCAGCUCAUUACCAGCACUAUUACUGAUCUAGGGGACUGCUGGGGGAAAUUCCUCCUUCCAAGGAAAGCGUUCCUGUUUACCAUACAGCACUGCAGAUCAGGAGCUGCACACACAGAUGCACAAACACACAUACAUAAGCACACACAUGCCUAUGUUUGGUUGGGGUUUUUUUUUCUUUUUUUUUUUUUUUUACAUCCUACCAUAUGUGAGCAUUUGCCUUCAGUGCUUAAACACUAACGUGCAUCCUCGCUUUCAGUUUACAUUAAUACACUCUCUGUCAGAGUACAGUGUACAGUAUUUACACCUAGCUUUCUGUCUUUUAUUAUUGCACACACACACUCACACACAUAUGCUCCUUCAAUCAGGCACGUCUGACUCAGCCUUGCUGCUUUACGUCAUUUGGCCCAAUCAGGCAGACCUUCACCGGCCCAUUAAAGUGGAA